RNAcentral lists this non-coding RNA (101 nucleotides) under Leifsonia sp. Root227. Its description in RNAcentral is "Glycine riboswitch aptamer". It matches the Rfam family "Glycine riboswitch aptamer". From Rfam's summary of the family: This family represents the bacterial glycine riboswitch. Glycine riboswitches usually consist of two metabolite-binding aptamers domains with similar structures in tandem. The aptamers cooperatively bind glycine to regulate the expression of downstream genes. Lineage: Bacteria; Bacillati; Actinomycetota; Actinomycetes; Micrococcales; Microbacteriaceae. RNAcentral also lists the same sequence under 1 other name. The record is from Rfam by way of RNAcentral.
GAGGUCGAUGCGGGAGAGCCGGGAGCGCGAGAGCGCACAGCCGGCACCGAAGGAGCAAUCCUCCCCGACAAUCUCUCAGGUACGCGUACCGCAUCGGACUG